CUACGGGGGGCUGCAGUAAGGAAUAUUGCGCAAUGGAGGCAACUCUGACGCAGCCAUGCCGCGUGCAGGAAGAAGGCCUUAUGGGUCGUAAACUGCUUUUAUUUAGGAAUAAACCCCCGAACGUGUUCGGGGCUGAAGGUACUAAACGAAUAAGCACCGGCUAACUCCGUGCCAGCAGCCGCGGUAAUACGGAGGGUGCAAGCGUUAUCCGGAUUUAUUGGGUUUAAAGGGUGCGCAGGCGGGCUAUUAAGUCAGUGGUGAAAUCCCGGGGCUCAACUCCGGAACUGCCAUUGAUACUGAUAGUCUGGAGUUUGGUUGAAGUGGGCGGAAUGUAGCAUGUAGCGGUGAAAUGCAUAGAUAUGCCACAGAACACCAAUCGCGAAGGCAGCUCACUAAGCCAAAACUGACGCUCAUGCACGAAAGCGUGGGGAUCAAACAGGAUUAGAUACCUAGUAGUC
RNAcentral lists this ribosomal RNA (458 nucleotides) under uncultured bacterium. RNAcentral's name for it is "partial 16S ribosomal RNA". It matches the Rfam family "Bacterial small subunit ribosomal RNA", at positions 339 to 795 of the family's 1533-position model. The record is from RNAcentral.